UGAGACCUGUCAUAGAAGAUGAUUGGGUAGAUUUCUCUUGCAACUGUUUAAUUAGUAGUAAUCGUCCAGCUGGUAGAGCUACCGACAUUGGAGUAAAGCUAGCAAACAGCUUUGGAUUAACAAAAGGAAGUUCAAAAGGUGUUAUUCUAGAAAUAUCUCUGUGGUCGUGGAUACUGGUCUCUAUUUUUGCGGUAGAAUCAUUAUUGGCAGAAAAAUCCUCCUCAGUAGUCAG
Schizosaccharomyces pombe (fission yeast) is the source of this 232-nucleotide non-coding RNA. The record is from the annotation of a GenBank genome assembly. Lineage: Eukaryota; Fungi; Ascomycota; Schizosaccharomycetes; Schizosaccharomycetales; Schizosaccharomycetaceae.